RNAcentral lists this ribosomal RNA (520 nucleotides) under uncultured Glomus. RNAcentral's name for it is "SSU rRNA". It matches the Rfam family "Eukaryotic small subunit ribosomal RNA", at positions 569 to 1091 of the family's 1831-position model. The record is from RNAcentral. Lineage: Eukaryota; Fungi; Glomeromycota; Glomeromycetes; Glomerales; Glomeraceae.
AGCAGCCGCGGUAAUUCCAGCUCCAAUAGCGUAUAUUAAAGUUGUUGCAGUUAAAAGCUCGUAGUUGAAUUUCGGGAUCAAUUAAUUGGUCGUGCCUAUGGUACGUACUGAUUUUAUUGGUUUCUCCCUUCUGACGAACCAUGAUGUCAUUAAUUUGGUGUCGUGGAGAAUCAGGACUGUUACUUUGAAAAAAUUAGAGUGUUUAAAGCAGGCUAACGCUUGAAUACAUUAGCAUGGAAUAAUGAAAUAGGACGUUUGANCCUAUUUUGUUGGUUCUAGGAUCGACGUAAUGAUUAAUAGGGAUAGUUGGGGGCAUUAGUAUUCAAUUGUCAGAGGUGAAAUUCUUGGAUUUAUUGAAGACUAACUACUGCGAAAGCAUUUGCCAAGGAUGUUUUCAUUAAUCAAGAACGAAAGUUAGGGGAUCGAAGACGAUCAGAUACCGUCGUAGUCUUAACCAUAAACUAUGCCGACUAGGGAUCGGAUGAUGUUAAUUUUUUCAAUGACUCAUUCGGCGCCUUAC